This 62-nucleotide transfer RNA is filed under the name Antrokoreana gracilipes. Its description in RNAcentral is "tRNA-Ser". Lineage: Eukaryota; Metazoa; Arthropoda; Diplopoda; Julida; Nemasomatidae. The record is from RNAcentral.
AAGAAGUUACACAGUAGGGGCCGCUAACCUCUUAUUUAGCAAGUUAUUUUGUUAGUAUCUUU